GAUGAACGCUGGCGGCGUGCCUAAUACAUGCAAGUCGAGCGAACAGACGAGGAGCUUGCUCCUUUGACGUUAGCUGCGGACGGGUGAGUAACACGUGGAUAACCUACCUAUAAGACUGGGAUAACUUCGGGAAACCGGAGCUAAUACCGGAUAACAUGUUGAACCGCAUGGUUCAACAGUGAAAGACGGUUUUGCUGUCACUUAUAGAUGGAUCCGCGCCGCAUUAGCUAGUUGGUAAGGUAACGGCUUACCAAGGCAACGAUGCGUAGCCGACCUGAGAGGGUGAUCGGCCACACUGGAACUGAGACACGGUCCAGACUCCUACGGGAGGCAGCAGUAGGGAAUCUUCCGCAAUGGGCGAAAGCCUGACGGAGCAACGCCGCGUGAGUGAAGAAGGUCUUCGGAUCGUAAAACUCUGUUAUUAGGGAAGAACAAAUGUGUAAGUAACUAUGCACGUCUUGACGGUACCUAAUCAGAAAGCCACGGCUAACUACGUG
Molecule: ribosomal RNA, 497 nt
Filed under: uncultured bacterium
Lineage: Bacteria
Description: partial 16S ribosomal RNA
Rfam family: Bacterial small subunit ribosomal RNA
Source: RNAcentral